CUUUUUGCCAUUUCUUGGGCUGCUCCUACAGCAUAUGGAGAUUUCCAAGCUAGGGGUCGAAUCAGAGCUUUAGCCACCCACCUAUGCCAGAGCCACAGCAAUGCAGGAUCCGAGCCGCGUCUGCAACCUACACCACAGCUCACGGCAACGCCGGAUCCUUAACCCACUGAGCAAGGGCAGGGACCGAACACGCAACCUCAUGGUUCCUAGUCGGAUUCGUUAACCACUGAGCCAUGAUGGGAACUCCAAUCUAAAGAGACUCACAGACUUUGGAAACAAAUUUAUGGUUACCAAGGGGGACAGGUUGUGGGGAGAGAUGGACUGGGGAUUUGGGAUUAGCAUAUGCACACUGUGGAAUAUGAACCAAUUGGACAAUGAGGACUUGCUGUAUAGCACAAGGAACUCUACCCAAUAUUCUGUAAUAAUCUAUAUUGGAAAAAAAUCUGAGAAAGCAUGUAUGUGUGUAUAUGUCUAAUUGAAUCACUUUUUUGUACAGCAGAAAUUAUAACAACAUUGUAAAUCAACUAUACUUCAAUAAAACUUCCAAAAACGGAAAAAAAAACCACCACCAAUUAAUAGGCAUUUUAAAAAUAUUUAAUCUGCCACCAAUACAAAAUGCACUCAUAAAAAUAUGUUUCCUGAAUCUACAACCAGCAUCUUAAAUUAAGUUUUACUCAUUACUGAAACAAAUAUUUGUUGCAAACAUUUUAAAGGGAUUUGUAAAAACAAUUAAAUGAGAAACUAUCAAAAUAUAAACUUAUUUUUACCUAGGUAAAAAUAUAAUAUAAACUUAUUUUUACCUUAGGUAAUAAGAAUGGUACUUAUCUCCUGCUACUCUCUAUUUUACCCUUUAUAAUCAAGCAACACCAAAAUGCUCAUGAUCCUUUUAAACACCACCACAUCUUAUACAUCUAUACCUUUGUGCUUAUUACUUUCUCUGCCCCAAUAUCCCUCAGGUAGUCACCUGGAUAGCCAGUUUUUAAGGUUUAUCAUAUCCUGUGUUCUUGUUCCCUGGUGACCCCACACUCUCCACCUGGACAAUUAGUCACUCUCUUCUCUAUACUACUGAGAACAUAACUUCAUGUAGUAUGUAUUUCUAAAAGAGUACACUGCACAUGUUAAUAUUUUUGUUAUAAUACUAAAAUUUAUUUAUUUAUUUAAUAAUUAUUUCUCCCACAAGACUGUCAGUUUCGUAACUGCAUGAACUAUAUCAGAUUCAUCUUUGUAUUUUCACAGUCUAUCUCAAUGCUUCAACGGAGUAGAUGUCUGGGUUGCUGAACUGAACUGUACCUUCUUAUUAUUUAUUGAAGAGGCAAACAGUAUACUUUUUCUUUUUCUUCAGUUUUAUGAGCCCAAUUGGUAAAAUGAAAUCAAAAGACAAAUAAAAGAAAUGAAAAUGUGAACUAUAAAAAUCCAAUCAGCCAGUUUUCACAUUUUUUCUACAAAUCUAAUUUACAAAGCUCUUUCUAUUUUUUUAUUUCAUGUUCUAUUAAGUAUAAUUACCUUGUUAAAUUUUCCUGUUGGCAUAGAUUGUCUAGAUGCUCCUUUUAAACAAAUGUUUGCAAGAAAAUAGGUGAGUAUGAUGAAAUCAGGUGAUACAAGAAUUUUUAACAUAUACAUAUAUGCAGAUAGUCAUAAUAAAAAUUUAUUUUUUCUUUCUUUUUUCCCUUUUUUUUUUGUCUUUAUUUUUUAGGGCCAUACCUGUGGCAUACGGAAGUUCCCAGGUUAGGGGUCAAACCAGAGCUGUAGCUGCCAGCCUACACCACAGCCAUAGCAAUGUGGGAUCCAAGCCACAUCUGUGACCUAUACCACAGCUCACAGCAAUGCUGGAUCCUUAACCCAUUGAUUGAGACUAGGGAUCAAACCCGCCUCCUGAUAGAUAUUAGUCAGAUUCGUCACUGAUGAGCCAUGCGGGAACUCCCUAAAAAGUUAAAUAAAUGUUUUUAUGUUAAGACCCAAGUGAUUACUAAUAGCUUAGCAUGCUCACUUAAGUGUUAACAAGAAGUGAUUACUUAAUAGAAUGGUCAUCUCAUUAGUGAAUGUCACACAUCAAUUGGGGCAGAUAUUUUUGCAUGGAGAAUGUGCCAGCAUGCUAAAAUACCAUGACAUAUGCCAUAACUACUUGGACUACAGGCACAUUUCAUUCUAGUGCAGGUCUUACCUUAAUCCUAUUUUUUUUCUAUCCCUUCAUAUGGAUACAUGCACCAUCCACAUAUAAUAAAUUACAUAGAAAAAUUAUUUUUAGAUAUUUCCUUUCUCUCAUUUCUAAAUAACAGAGUAAUCACUCUCUUUUCAACAGUUUACUUCUAAUCAGCUCCAUCCAUCUUCUACUACUUCUAUUGUGG
Molecule: long non-coding RNA, 2345 nt
Filed under: Sus scrofa (pig)
Lineage: Eukaryota; Metazoa; Chordata; Mammalia; Artiodactyla; Suidae
Description: lncRNA (ENSSSCG00030032493.1)
Source: RNAcentral